GACGAACGCUGGCGGCGUGCUUAAUACAUGCAAGUCGAACGGAAAGACCACUUUCGGGGUGUACUCAAGUUGCCAACGGGUGGGUAAGUAACGAGUAACCAGCCCUUGACUUUGGGAUAGCUUCCGGAGACAGGGGCGAAUACCGGCUAGAAGAUCCUGCUGCCUGGAGGGUGCUGGAGAGUAUCGGGGGUUGGGGAUGGCUUCGCGGCUUAUCAGCUUGUUGUUGGGGUAGUGGCUUACCAAGGCCUUGACGGGUAGACGGACUGUGAGGGUGAUAGGCGACAUUGGGACUGAGAUACGGCACAGACACCUACGGGAGGGAGCAGGGGGGAAUAUUGCAGGAGGGGCGGAAGCCUGAUGCAGCAACUCCGUGUGCGGGAUGACGGCCUUCGGGUUGUAAACCGCUUUCGCUAAUGACGAAGCUUUGUGUGACGGUAGUGGGUAAAGAAGCACCGGCUAACUACGUG
RNAcentral lists this ribosomal RNA (467 nucleotides) under uncultured bacterium. RNAcentral's name for it is "partial 16S ribosomal RNA". It matches the Rfam family "Bacterial small subunit ribosomal RNA", at positions 28 to 507 of the family's 1533-position model. The record is from RNAcentral.